GGCACGUUCUUUGCUGGUCAAGUAGGCAAUGGCCCGGCCAACGGCGGUCGGGCCACAUCAGACAAUGGCGUCUU
This is a regulatory RNA element of Janthinobacterium agaricidamnosum, 74 nucleotides long. It matches the Rfam family "narK RNA". The record is from Rfam. NCBI's taxonomy places the organism in Bacteria, Pseudomonadati, Pseudomonadota, Betaproteobacteria, Burkholderiales, Oxalobacteraceae.